AGUAUUUGGGGCCUAAUCAUGCAAGUCGAGCGGACAGAUGGGAGCUUGCUCCCUGAUGUUAGCGGCGGACGGGUGAGUAACACGUGGGUAACCUGCCUGUAAGACUGGGAUAACUCCGGGAAACCGGGGCUAAUACCGGAUGGUUGUUUGAACCGCAUGGUUCAAACAUAAAAGGUGGCUUCGGCUACCACUUACAGAUGGACCCGCGGCGCAUUAGCUAGUUGGUGAGGUAACGGCUCACCAAGGCAACGAUGCGUAGCCGACCUGAGAGGGUGAUCGGCCACACUGGGACUGAGACACGGCCCAGACUCCUACGGGAGGCAGCAGUAGGGAAUCUUCCGCAAUGGACGAAAGUCUGACGGAGCAACGCCGCGUGAGUGAUGAAGGUUUUCGGAUCGUAAAGCUCUGUUGUUAGGGAAGAACAAGUACCGUUCGAAUAGGGCGGUACCUUGACGGUACCUAACCAGAAAGCCACGGCUAACUACGUGCCAGCAGCCGCGGUAAUACGUAGGUGGCAAGCGUUGUCCGGAAUUAUUGGGCGUAAAGGGCUCGCAGGCGGUUUCUUAAGUCUGAUGUGAAAGCCCCCGGCUCAACCGGGGAGGGUCAUUGGAAACUGGGGAACUUGAGUGCAGAAGAGGAGAGUGGAAUUCCACGUGUAGCGGUGAAAUGCGUAGAGAUGUGGAGGAACACCAGUGGCGAAAGGCGACUCUC
RNAcentral lists this ribosomal RNA (711 nucleotides) under Bacillus tequilensis. Its description in RNAcentral is "bacterial SSU rRNA". It matches the Rfam family "Bacterial small subunit ribosomal RNA", at positions 38 to 729 of the family's 1533-position model. The record is from RNAcentral. Lineage: Bacteria; Bacillati; Bacillota; Bacilli; Caryophanales; Bacillaceae. RNAcentral also lists the same sequence under 1 other name.